Long non-coding RNA from Scatophagus argus, 934 nucleotides. RefSeq lists it as uncharacterized. The record is from RefSeq and is a predicted model, not a curated record. The transcript has 3 exons. Lineage: Eukaryota; Metazoa; Chordata; Actinopteri; Scatophagidae.
CUGAAAACACAGAGGAAGAGGACGAGGAAGACAUCAGCAAAUGUAAAGGCAGACUCAAACCCCAACACUUCCGGGUAACAUGCACUGUGAUAAUCCAAAUACUAUUGGAUAAAAGAACGGAUGAACACGUGCAAGACACAAAAGUGGACCUUUAUGUAGUGUCUCUGCAGUGUCCAACGCUGGUGGCCGCCUGGAGGCCCACCAGGAGGCCCCACCCUCAGUGCACAGGACCCAAAGGAUCCAACACUGAGAUGCUGCGUUGGUUCCCAAGAGGCUCUCCACUACAGCACCCUGAGCGAGUUCCCUUUGGACCAGUUUCUGGGAGGAAGAGGAGGGGACCAUGCUGGCUCAGAUGUGGUUUUGAGUUUGUGGCGUUUGAAGAAGCCAAGGAACAUGAUAGAGUUGUAACCAUAUGCAAAUUCAAAAUCUGCUGUCUCACAGAACAUUUUAAAUUUUCAUCUUUUUCUUCUGUACAUCAUGCUUUUAAUAACAUACAUGACAAAUUGAAAUCAUGUUAGAUACUUGUGAAUGACUGCAUGAAUUUUCCCAAAAACAACUGAAAAAGCCAACGCCCAUCGUGUACCAUUUCUCUUUGAGCAGAGAUAAGAGAGUGAAUCCCUCUAAGCUACCUGGAUCAACCCUUGUGUCUUGGGUUUGCCAGAGCAGCCUGAAGCACUUGCAGUUUGUAAAUGCAAACGUUUCUAUUUAAACUUCACAUUUCUCACAUAGGUUAUUUGCCUUUCCUGUGGCUGCGCUUCUUAAUGUUGGACAGAUAGACAUAGACAAGCUCCCUCUAAAACAUGAUCUUUUCAGUGCUGGUUAUCUUCAGAAUCAUUCAAAAUAUUUAUUGCUGUGAUAACCGUCCAAAACUGUGAAGUAUGAAUCUGAUUAGGAUUCAAACUAAUUUUAGGGGUAGAUUUUUCUUAAUCCAUGG